Molecule: transfer RNA, 72 nt
Filed under: Limnobacter sp. MED105
Lineage: Bacteria; Pseudomonadati; Pseudomonadota; Betaproteobacteria; Burkholderiales; Burkholderiaceae
Rfam family: tRNA
About the family: Transfer RNA (tRNA) molecules are approximately 80 nucleotides in length. Their secondary structure includes four short double-helical elements and three loops (D, anti-codon, and T loops).
Source: Rfam by way of RNAcentral
CUCGCGGUAGUACAAUGGAUAGUACGAGGCCCUCCUAAGGCUUAGAUACAGGUUCGAUUCCUGUCCGCGAGA